UACGGGGGGAGCAAGCGUUGUUCGGAUUUACUGGGCGUAAAGGGCGCGUAGGCGGCGUGACAAGUCACUUGUGAAAUCUCCGGGCUUAACCCGGAGCGGCCAAGUGAUACUGUCGUGCUAGAGUGCGGAAGGGGCUACUGGAAUUCUCGGUGUAGCGGUGAAAUGCGUAGAUAUCAGGAGGAACACCGGUGGUGUAGACGGCUCACUGGACCGUAACUGACGCUGAGACACGAAAGCGUGGGGAGCAAACAGG
RNAcentral lists this ribosomal RNA (253 nucleotides) under uncultured bacterium. RNAcentral's name for it is "partial 16S ribosomal RNA". It matches the Rfam family "Bacterial small subunit ribosomal RNA", at positions 524 to 776 of the family's 1533-position model. The record is from RNAcentral.